CCUACGGGAGGCAGCAGUAAGGAAUAUUGGUCAAUGGACGCAAGUCUGAACCAGCCGUGCCGCGUGAAGGAUUAAGGCCCUCUGGGUUGUAAACUUCUUUUAUAGGGGACGAAAAAAGGGCAUUCUUGCUCACUUGACGGUACCCUAGGAAUAAGCACCGGCUAACUCCGUGCCAGCAGCCGCGGUAAUACGGAGGGUGCAAGCGUUAUCCGGAUUUACUGGGUUUAAAGGGUGCGUAGGUGGGUUGGUAAGUCAGUGGUGAAAUCUUCGAGCUUAACUCGGAAACUGCCAUUGAUACUAUCAAUCUUGAAUCAUCUAGAGGUAAGCGGAAUAUGUCAUGUAGCGGUGAAAUGCUUAGAUAUGACAUAGAACACCAAUUGCGAAGGCAGCUUACUAUGGAUGUAUUGACACUGAGGCACGAAAGCGUGGGGAUCAAACAGGAUUAGAUACCCUGGUAGUCCACGCCCUAAACGAUGGAUACUCGACAUUUGUGAUAUACUAUAAGUGUCUGAGNGAAGACAUAAGUAUCCACCGUCGGAGUACGACCGACGAGUAGUAACGUAAGUAGAGUAGACGCGUGAGAGAGACGACGGACGACGACGAGGGAGGAGG
RNAcentral lists this ribosomal RNA (612 nucleotides) under uncultured bacterium. RNAcentral describes it as "bacterial SSU rRNA". The stretch from base 1 to 533 matches the Rfam family "Bacterial small subunit ribosomal RNA", at positions 338 to 873 of the family's 1533-position model. The record is from RNAcentral.